AGGAUGAACGCUGGCGGCGUGCCUAAUACAUGCAAGUCGAACGAGGUGCUUUGUAGCAAUACGAGAGUAUCCUAGUGGCGAACGGGUGAGUAACGCGUUGGUGACCUACCCCAAAGUGUGGGAUAACAGUCCGAAAGGAUUGCUAAUACCGCAUGUGGUUAUUGGAUUUAGAAACCGGUAACUAAAGGAGCAAUUCGCUUUGGGAGGGACCUGCGUCCCAUCAGCUAGUUGGUGAGGUAAUGGCUCACCAAGGCUACGACGGGUAGGGGACCUGAGAGGGUGACCCCCGACAAUGGAACUGAAACACGGUCCAUACACCUACGGGUGGCAGCAGUAGGGAAUAUUGCACAAUGGGCGAAAGCCUGAUGCAGCAACGCCGCGUGUGUGAUGAAGGCCUUCGGGUCGUAAAGCACUUUCAGCGCAGACGAAGCGAAAGUGACGGUAUGCGCAGAAGAAGCACCGGCCAACUACGUGCCAGCAGCCGCGGU
RNAcentral lists this ribosomal RNA (488 nucleotides) under uncultured bacterium. RNAcentral describes it as "SSU rRNA". It matches the Rfam family "Bacterial small subunit ribosomal RNA", at positions 26 to 521 of the family's 1533-position model. The record is from RNAcentral.